UGCAAGUCGAGCGGACAGAUGGGAGCUUGCUCCCUGAUGUUAGCGGCGGACGGGUGAGUAACACGUGGGUAACCUGCCUGUAAGACUGGGAUAACUCCGGGAAACCGGGGCUAAUACCGGAUGGUUGUUUGAACCGCAUGGUUCAAACAUAAAAGGUGGCUUCGGCUACCACUUACAGAUGGACCCGCGGCGCAUUAGCUAGUUGGUGAGGUAAUGGCUCACCAAGGCAACGAUGCGUAGCCGACCUGAGAGGGUGAUCGGCCACACUGGGACUGAGACACGGCCCAGACUCCUACGGGAGGCAGCAGUAGGGAAUCUUCCGCAAUGGACGAAAGUCUGACGGAGCAACGCCGCGUGAGUGAUGAAGGUUUUCGGAUCGUAAAGCUCUGUUGUUAGGGAAGAACAAGUACCGUUCGAAUAGGGCGGUACCUUGACGGUACCUAACCAGAAAGCCACGGCUAACUACGUGCCAGCAGCCGCGGUAAUACGUAGGUGGCAAGCGUUGUCCGGAAUUAUUGGGCGUAAAGGGCUCGCAGGCGGUUUCUUAAGUCUGAUGUGAAAGCCCCCGGCUCACCCGGGGAGGGUCAUUGGAAACUGGGGAACUUGAGUGCAGAAGAGGAGAGUGGAAUUCCACGUGUAGCGGUGAAAUGCGUAGAGAUGUGGAGGAACACCAGUGGCGAAGGCGACUCUCUGGUCUGUAACUGACGCUGAGGAGCGAAAGCGUGGGGAGCGAACAGGAUUAGAUACCCUGGUAGUCCACGCCGUAAACGAUGAGUGCUA
RNAcentral lists this ribosomal RNA (780 nucleotides) under Bacillus sp. (in: firmicutes). RNAcentral describes it as "bacterial SSU rRNA". It matches the Rfam family "Bacterial small subunit ribosomal RNA", at positions 56 to 818 of the family's 1533-position model. The record is from RNAcentral. Lineage: Bacteria; Bacillati; Bacillota; Bacilli; Caryophanales; Bacillaceae.